UCUGAGCCGAGGGUGCUGUCUCGACAAUAAAGUUUCUCUCAAGUCCUCCACUGGUUUAGAUUUUCGCCGAGAAGUAAAACAAUAUCGUUAAAAAUCCAUCUACUAAACCUAAAUGGAAUGAACUCUGCAGACGGCUAAAAACACUUAGGAAUGAAAUCUUGAGGGGCAGCAAAAUCCACGGUGCUAUCUACAAAUAAUUCAGAAUAAUACGAAGGGGCUGCACUCCGACUCUUCUUCACUGAGUUCAACAGUAAUGUGGAAUCCAAUCAAUGUUUCCAACCUUGUAAACAUGAAAUACGAAGAACGUGAGUUUGAUGUGCUACGUAAUUAUACCAAGUGAGGUAUUACGCCAUUAUUAAGCGCUAAAUUCGCACAUGGAUCGCACCACCAAUGAAAAUAAGUCUUUAAGACAGAAACGCAGGAAUAUAAAACAAACGAAAUGGUGCACAAAUAAUUCCUUUCAUGAACUAAUAUUUUUUCUCUGGGUUCUGAAGAAAAAAAAUACAAAGAUAAAACACUACUCACUACAUACCUUUUCCUUUGCUUACUAACCAUUCUUUUUAGCAGCCUGCAGGAACUAAGAAAAUUGCCAUGAAAUACUUAGGUUAAGGUCAUUAACGACGAUGUAGAUAUAAGGAUGCUUAUGAUGUUUAUUAUGUUUUGCUUUGAGGAUAUUUAUGAAAUGAAGCUAAUAUGCUGAUACUAUAAAGAUUUUAUGAAAUAAAUGAUUAGUGUCGUAUGAGCUGUAUAAUGAUGUACUAUUUCAUGAUGUUAUUUUACAAUGUGUAUGGAUAUACAAUAUUUCAAAAUUCGUUUGUUUAAUUCAUUGUGGAUACUGAUUAGGACUGAUUUUGAGGAAAGUGAUUAAGUAUAAUACACUUCUUACACUGUUAUUUUUUUCUGAUAAUCUGUACAUGAUAAUAUUUUUUUGUUCUUAUUUAUGCCAUUCACAUUUACAGUUUAAUAUCUAAUUGCACUUUACAGGUACAACAAUCCGUGUUAGUCAUGCUCAUCAUUGUAUGGUUUACUUUAAUGCACUAAUAUAAUACGCUUCUAAUAAAUAAGGCUUUUUGCAUGUCUAUGUUAUUUUGCCACUACUUUGGCUUAGCAAUGUGAUCACAAAUUUUCAUCUGUAUUAUUUUGUCUUGACUAAUGACACAUGAGUAUGGACGCUUACAGUUUAUAUUUUGCUGCUACAAUGUGCUCUUUUCGCUCCUCUAAUACUAUCCAUAUCUCAGUAGACAUGUUUACUCCCCAAUAACUUAUAAUUUAUGUGACAAAUAUUUAUCCAUGGAAGAGCAACUAUGCAUUGUAGACUUUAGCUUCUCACUGAUGUAUCUUAUCUUUAAGAUCUGCUAUGCAUGAUAUGCCUCAUGUUGCCAUUUAUUAUCUGUAAGUUCAAAAAUCUUAUUGAGUCUCCUUCAGGAAUCCACUGUAUACAUUUUUAUAAUUAUAUACUAGAUACUAUAUGAUGUAAUGCUUAAAUACUUCAGUACAGACUUUGAUCACAGACUGUCUCAUAGGCUGCUACCUUAGUUAUAAACAUUUUCCUUUAUUUCCAUGGUAAGUUAUUCAGUCUUGACAUAACUAGGAGUUUGCCAGCAUUUUGUACCAAGUACCAUUACUUAUAAAUGUAAUAUUAGCAAUUAAUUAUUUAUAACACAGGAGUUGUCUGUUUUCAUAAUGGCAUAGCUGUGACUUUGACAUAAGAUAUUUCAGACUGUCAGUUGCACCUUUUAGAUCCUACUUCCAAAUGUUAACCAUUCCACUAUAAUCCUGUCCAUCCACAUGGUCAUGGAAUAAUCAGAUUAUGCACACACCUGCACAAUGUGUGACAAUACCAAUAACAUGCUAUCAACGAGAUUCUUCAGUAAACCACGAGCUGCAAUGGUACAUGCCAUUGCAUCCAGAAUUGGACCUAAGAGACUUAAGUGUGUCAUGUGGUCAAGCUAUAAUGGAACAAUGGUUUGCCACAGACGUUGUACCAGAUGCUGUAGACAACAAUACACAACGUCAGUCGACCUUGUGUAAUGAACUUCGAGUAAAACGAGUUAUUAUAGUUACACUUCUGAUGAUGUGGUACAGCUACUGUUCAUCGACACUUACUGUGCAGAGUGCAUGAAAUCAGUCUCAUCUUGAACCAUGAGUGACUUCUAUCCUGAUUUCGUAAUUUUUCUAUUCUCUUUACUUUAUAUCCUUUUUAUCAUAUAUAUUUGCACUGACAUUUCAAAACAGGGUCAUAGCCUUGUGUUGUUUAUGAGCUAUAUGCCAGUCUACUUCCCACUGUGCAAUAUGUUCCAAAAAUUAUAGUGCAUAUGAGCACAGUUUGCAAUGAAUAAUGUGUAUAUUACCUUAUUUUUUCAAUACUAUGCACAUGAUAUAAUGCCACUAUUUUGCAUCUUCUAGGUAUAAUUUUUCAAUACUAAAAUAUUUUGUAAAUUGUAGACGGUAUUUUGACAA
Long non-coding RNA from Schistocerca cancellata (South American locust), 2460 nucleotides. RefSeq lists it as uncharacterized. Lineage: Eukaryota; Metazoa; Arthropoda; Insecta; Orthoptera; Acrididae. The transcript has 3 exons. The record is from RefSeq and is a predicted model, not a curated record.